This 428-nucleotide ribosomal RNA is filed under the name uncultured bacterium. RNAcentral describes it as "bacterial SSU rRNA". It matches the Rfam family "Bacterial small subunit ribosomal RNA", at positions 917 to 1350 of the family's 1533-position model. The record is from RNAcentral.
GGGCCCGCACAAGCGGUGGAGUAUGUGGUUUAAUUCGAUGCAACGCGAAGAACCUUACCAGGGCUUAAAUGCAGAGCGAAUAGUUUGGAAACAGACUAGCCUUCGGGCGAUCUGCAAGGUGCUGCAUGGCUGUCGUCAGCUCGUGCCGUGAGGUGUUGGGUUAAGUCCCGCAACGAGCGCAACCCACGUCUUUAGUUGCCAGCAUUUAGUUGGGCACUCUAGAGAGACUGCCGGUGAUAAGCUGGAGGAAGGCGGGGAUGACGUCAAGUCCUCAUGGCCCUUACGGUCUGGGCUACACACGUGCUACAAUGGUGGUGACAGAGGGCAGCAAUAUCGCAAGAUAAAGCUAAUCCCAAAAAACCAUCUCAGUUCGGAUUGGACUCUGCAACUCGAGUCCAUGAAGUUGGAAUCGCUAGUAAUCGUAGAUC